Molecule: long non-coding RNA, 1038 nt
Organism: Homo sapiens (human)
Lineage: Eukaryota; Metazoa; Chordata; Mammalia; Primates; Hominidae
Source: Ensembl
AGUUUUGUUUUCUGUUACAACAGAGCAGCACUGAGUUAAAUGCCUCACAGUUGCUGCAACAUCCCUCUCCCUAACGCACAGAAAUGCUCUGCACAUCAUGCUACCUCUGCUGGGGGAUGGGAGAAGAGCAGCAUCGGUGAUACAAGACUGAAUUUACUACCUCUUCCGUGGCUUUUUCAGCAAUAAGAAGUUAAAACUAGAUGGAAAAAUGCUUCCCCCAGGAGACACAAUAAUAACUUAUUCGACCAGGAAGGUAAGACUGGCCACUCUGAAUCAACGAGCAAAGAAAGGAGUUGCUGUGCUGACUGGGGUGAUUGUCCCUGACUACUAAAGGAAAAAUUGGACAGCUAUGAUGGCUACUCUACAAUGGAGAGUCAUUGUGAUUUAAGGAGAUGUGUAUGAGUGCCAAGUUGACAAGACAAAGCAUGAACUUAUGAUGGUUAAUUUACAUGUCGUUUUGACAGGACACUGCAUAACCAGAUUAAAGAUUAUUUCUGAGUGUGUCUGUGAGAUUGUUUCUGGGGGAGUUAGCAUUUGAAGCUGUGAACUGAGUAAAGCAGAUUUUUCUCCCAAAUGUGGGUGGGCAGUGUCCAAUUCUUUGAGAGCCUGAAUAGAAGAAAAAGGCAGAGGAAGGGGAAAUCUGUUCUCUCUGCCUGAUCACGUGAGCUGGGACAUUAGUCUUCUCCUGUCCCGGCAUGAGGCUUGUACCAACAGCCCUCUUGUUCUCAAAAGUACACCACUGGCUUUCCUGGGUCUUGAGUUUACAGAUGGAACAUUCUGGGACCAGUUAGCCAUAAUUUCAUCAGCCAAUUCCUUGCAAAAAAUUAUAUGCUUAUAUAGUUUCCUUGGUUUUGUUUCUAUGGAAAACCCUGACAGACAAUAACCAUGUUCCUAAGAAAUAGCCAGUGAAAUAUUAUAGCAUAAAGAGAUAUACUACUAUAUGCACUGUAUUCUCAAAUAGUCCAGAAAAAAAUGUGAACAUACAAACAUAUGUAGAUAUGCACACACAUGUGUAUAUAUGAUAUACAUUUGUGAUAU